This 472-nucleotide ribosomal RNA is filed under the name uncultured Bacteroidota bacterium. RNAcentral's name for it is "bacterial SSU rRNA". It matches the Rfam family "Bacterial small subunit ribosomal RNA", at positions 8 to 479 of the family's 1533-position model. The record is from RNAcentral. Lineage: Bacteria; Pseudomonadati; Bacteroidota.
AGAGUUUGAUCCUGGCUCAGGAUGAACGCUAGCGGCAGGCCUAAUACAUGCAAGUCGAGGGGCAGUUUUGCUUUCGAGCAAAAGCGACCGGCGCACGGGUGCGUAACGCGUAUGCAACCUACCUUUUACUGGGGGAUAGCCCGAAGAAAUUCGGAUUAAUACCGCAUAGUACUAUUUGAAGGCAUCAGAAGAUAGUUAAAGAUUUAUUGGUAAAAGAUGGGCAUGCGUGACAUUAGUUAGUUGGUGAGGUAACGGCUCACCAAGACGAUGAUGUCUAGGGGUUCUGAGAGGAAGAUCCCCCACACUGGUACUGAGAUACGGACCAGACUCCUACGGGAGGCAGCAGUAGGGAAUAUUGGUCAAUGGGCGCAAGCCUGAACCAGCCAUGCCGCGUGUAGGAAGAAGGCCUUCUGGGUUGUAAACUACUUUUAUCAGGGAACAAAAAGCUCCUGCGGGAGAAAUUGCGUGUACC